UGUAUUGUGGUGAACUUGGGCUAUACUCUGGGUUCGCACCAGAAUUAUAAGGACUGUAAAAUAUGAAGCCAAUCGUUAUAGAGUGCAAGGUGUUUAACCACCUUAACUUGACACAUGAAUCAUGUAGCAUAAAGUAUUACCAUACAUCACCAUUAUUAAGAUGCAUGGUUUGUUAAAAGCAUUAAAAUUUCAGGUAGUAAGGUGUGGAAAGAAAACCGUGUCGAAAAGGAACAGCUCAAACUUGCAGUCGGCAUAAAUUUAAUCAUGUAGCAUACACAUGAUUUAAGGUAUCACUAAAAGCUUGCAGAUUAAGGAGAAAGCUGAACUAUGUAAUAAACUACAUUAUUACAUAAAAGGAGAAACAGAAUGUUUCAAUAUUUGUCGGUAUUACUUUCCUCUAUUUAGAUAGAUCAAUGAUCCUAGAGUACAUUUGAAGAUCAUAAAAAUUAUAUAUGUUCAAAAAAAGGAAGCUUGUAAACUGAUGACCCGUCCAAGGUGAAAAAGAAAGAAAAGGAACAAGCAAACAAAUUACAAUACUAGAAAUACCGAGGUCACCCAUAAAAUUAAGAUAUACAAGAUUUACCUGCUGGGACUGUAUGUUGGACUUGAAGGGGAAUAAGAUGGAGAUGUCGGUGAAUAUGAUGGUGAUGUUGGGCUGCAAGAAAAAAGAGAAAUUUAAUGUUCUAAAAUACACUAAGAAACAACCAAGGGCUAAGUACACAGCAACUUAGCCCAACAGUUGGCAGUUUCACAUCGAAGAUUAGAAAAGAAGAUUAUAUGUAGUAAAGGUCGGCAAGUUGUCUGUAUUAAUGAUCGUCAACUUUAGUGGGUUGACACUGCAAAAACACAACCAAUUGCAUAAAAGCAUGUAGAGGUGAGCAGGUUAAAUUAUUCAAGAAGUUUGAGUUGCCAAUUACCUGUAAUUGGGGGAUGUUGGGCUGUAUGGACUGGCUGGUGACAGUCUUGGACUACUCGGGGAAUAUGCUAGAGAGGGGCUGUAUUUUGCUGAUGAAGGGUUGUAACUUGGAGAUGUAGGGCUGUAGCUAGGAGAUGUUGGACUAUAG
This 1064-nucleotide long non-coding RNA is filed under the name Panax ginseng (ginseng). RNAcentral's name for it is "long non-coding RNA (PGIN_LNC010722)". Lineage: Eukaryota; Viridiplantae; Streptophyta; Magnoliopsida; Apiales; Araliaceae. The record is from RNAcentral.